Meleagris gallopavo (turkey) is the source of this 5801-nucleotide non-coding RNA. Lineage: Eukaryota; Metazoa; Chordata; Aves; Galliformes; Phasianidae. The record is from RefSeq and is a predicted model, not a curated record.
GGGCGGGCCGGGCCGUGGCGGCACGAGCCGGGGGAUGUGUGCUGGGCUCGUGCUGUCAACUCAUCCCCACUGUGCCCACUAACGUGUCACUCAGUGCCACAUCUCUACGUUUCUUGAGAACUGACUCUGCCAUCUCCCUGGUCAGCUUGUUCCAAGAAGUGAGGCCAACAGCUCCAAGAGUGACCACAGCGAUAUCCAGCAUCCGUGGCACUGACAUCGAGACUGGCUGGGCCAUGAGGUCAUACAGCUGGGAGGAAGAAGAGGAAGGCCUGGAUGCAUUGAGGAAGAGAGUUGAACUCAGCUCUGCUAUACAGGAGAUGAAUAUUCACCCUGGGAUAUAUAUAUAUAUUCUUAAAUCUAUUAAUUUAUUUAAAAGCAAGUAAGUUCAACUUCUGAACAGUGCACGGUAACUGUUAGGGAAGCUCUCUCUUUUUUCUACCCAUCUUUGUCCUCCUUUUAAACACUCCUAAUUUUGGUCGGGACUGAGAAACAGGGGCUCUCAAGUUCUUCAUGCAUUUUACAUCUCUGAUCUAAUGAUCAAUUGUAAAUCAAUUUUAGCUUGUUCAUUUACUGCCAUUCAUUCUGUCAUGAUGAUAACAAAAUCAUGGAAAACCAAUAUGCAUCUUUCACCAUGUACAUUUGAAUUACUAAAAACAUAUUCUUGCAGUUCUUUCUUAGGGUUCAUUUAUUAAUUAUUAAAAAUAAAGAAAGAAAUCAAAGAAGAUCUCCUGCCAAGAAAUAUGUAAAAAGCUGAAUACCUUAGAAUAUUUACGCUAAAGUAUUUUGGAAAUGCAUUAUCUUCACAAAAGAAUCAUUGAAACCUAGGAAAUGUAGUGAAAAUAUUGUACUUCAAUAAAAUGAAAUAUGUUAAAAAAGAAAAUAUAUCAAGUCGUCCAGGCAAAUUUAAUUUUCUGCUAUAAUGAGAACCUGAGGGAAACAUGAAGUUGAAUUUAGUUUAUUUCUGUAGACUCUUAAUUUUUAACUAUUUCUGCAUAGUUUUACUAAGAAUUAGGAUUGUAUGACUUAAUCAUUAACUUCUCCAUCUGCAUAAUUUUAGAUUUUUUUUGCAAGCUUAAUCCAACUCUGGGACUGGAAAUCAUAUCUUCUAACUGGAUGGCUACAAGAUGAAGUGACUAGGAAAAAAGCAGGGGAAAAUCAGAACUAUUAUGUUCAUCUCUUAUACAGAGAACACAAAACCUACUGUAAUUAUGUCAUUUCCUCUCUCAUUAUGGUAUUGAGAGCUCAGACCCAUUUUUAUGUAGUGGUGCAAAACAGUUUGCUAUUUAAGUAUAGCUUACAGGAGCUACUUUGUAGAAUUGAUAUUCACAUAUGCCACAAAUCAAUUGUUCCCACGAUAUUAAAAGGGAAAAUUAUCUUGAUCUUUAAAAAUUCCCAAACCUUGGUAAGUCUCCUUGAGUAAUUGUGAUAUAAUUUUGGGUCAAUGUGCUUUGACCAAAGGUCAAUCCAAAUGAAUAAUCCAGGGAACAUUUGUUUUCCUACUGGUAAUCCUUUUUUGUGCAUGCUUAUGUACGCACAUGUAUAUGUGGUAACUGAAGAGAAAAAAAAGCUCAUAAUAUUUAUACAUUAGGAAAUCAAAGGGCUUUUCUCUCUUCUUUUUCUCUUCUUUCUUUUUCUUUUUCUUUUUUCUUCUUCCAAAUAACCUCUCUUUUCAACUUUGAAAGAUCUUCUUUAUAUGAGGAAAUUUACUAGAGACUACAGUAGUAUAAUUAUGCCUCGUGGACACUUUUUAAUUUUAUAUGAACGCCUGUAGAAUACAAGUGUCCACAUUGGGAGUUAUACCAUCACAUCUAGAGUGGUGUAAUUAUUCUAGUGAGUUCUGUAUGAAGACAAAUGCUUUAUGAAAGGGGAUUUUAUUUCGGCUCUUCACUUUUCAGCUUUUUCAGGUUCUGAACCUAAAGGUGUUGAUCAAAUCAAUGAAAGUAAUGAAAAUUCAAUGUUUACCAAGUAGACUGUCAAGUGCUGAGGAAAUCAGAAAGCAAUAAGUAUAUCUGCUUAGUGAUUAAUAUUCAUGUGCAUUUUCAUUCUUAUUCUCUCAACAGUGGUUGAGUUUGGGAGGAGUUUAGUGAAAAUUGAUAAAUAGUCUGUUGAUUUUUUUUUUUUUUUGCUUAGACUCAUAAACUAAUAUAGCCAAUAUCUAAAUGCUGGCAGUGCAUUAUGGAUUCUUAGCCCUCAGAAAUAACAUCCAGAAUUUCAGAUGAAUAUGACACUAGAGAAUUUUAUGAAUGCUUCAUAGCGUCUGCAGGUCUUUUGUAGCUUGCAUUGUCCAGAUCAGACACGGAAUGUCUCUAUUUCCUAUCUCUCAGUUAAAUUUUAUUUACUUAAAUAUGUGUGUCUUAGGAUAGUAGUCAAAAUAUUUUAUAUGAUAAUCACCCAUUUUCAAGAAAAUAACUUUCAGAAUGUCAGUAGGGGUAUGGAAAAACAUAAGUAUUUAUUUACACAAUGUGCUUAGACUGAAUUACAAGCAUAUCUCAAUGUAAUUGUUUCAUAGACUUUAAGGCAAGCAGAGCCCAGUCGUUUUGGUGACCUAAUCUUGUCCAACCUUUAUAUUGAUUACAGAGCACUAGCCUGACAGUCUUGCUUGAAGACAAUUAUUUCAAGGCGAACUUCAUGAAAAAGAUAUCUGCUUCAUAGUUAAAGAGUUCAGAUGACAAAGAGUCCACCACACCUAUCCCAACACUCACUGCUCAGAUGAAGUGCUUUAUUUGUGGUCUGAACUUGGCUUUGACUUCCCUUGUUGAAUCUUUGCUGGAUUAAAAAGGCCUUUAGCACUGGCCAUCGUUCAAUGAAAAUACUUAAGUGCUGAGAUCAAGGCAUCUCAGUCCUGUUUUGUUAAGCAAAUCUCAUUGAGCUGUUCUUGUUUCUAACCAUAGGGCAAGACUUCUGUACCAUCAGUUUUUUUCUGUAGUUUCUUUCAAGUUGCAAGCUUACAAACAUUUUUUUUUCUUUUUUUCUUUUUAAGUAAGGACAUCAGGACUGUAUGUGGCUGCAGUGGUUACCUAAUGAGAGAUUUACAGCAUGUGCUGAGCAAAAGUGUGCUCUUCCCUUUCCGUUUUUGAAGCAUAGAGGAAGAAAUAAGGGCAAAUAGCAAAAUUUUCAUUUUUCAUAUGCUUUGUCACAAACAUUCUAUAAUGAACAAUGCCACAUCAGGUCUUCCAAUGGAUAUUAUGCUUUCCCAAAUGAAGCUUCUUAGAGGGACACACCAGCAUGGUAUCUUGCUGGGUUAACCAGAAUACUUGGUUUGCCCUGGCUGGCAUUACACACGAUGGACGGCUUUUUUUUUCUUCAUAUUUAGUUUAUCUGCUAAAACUUCUUUGAAGGUUGAAAAUACAAGUCUCCAAUUUUAUAUAUUGUUUAUUUUUGUUCCAGCAUGUGUAACUUCAUUGAUAAAGUCAUUUGUCACACAGGCAUGAAUUAAAGUGAUAUGAGUGACAAGAGUAAGUAGCUUGGCUUUGCUAUUUUCUGUUUUUUUCCUACUUUGUCUACUCAAUUUUUGUUUUCAAAACAUCUCAAUAUUUUUUGCCCAAGACAGUGAAUGCAAGUAGUCGAAAAAGUAUUUCCAAUGAACUCUGUCUUGAAGCUAUGCAAAUGGAAAAUGAGUCUAGUUUUUGCUACAUGUAGAACUCUGUCAGUUAUCUAUUUUGUAAUUAAGUGCGGAGAUUUUUGCAUAGUGCUGACAUUGUAAUCACUGUCACGCAAUGGUUAGGUAAGUGUUUUAAAAGCAUCUAAGUAUAUGUUUUUGCAUUUGUACUCUGCUGCUCUGAAGCUGCUUCAGGCCUGCUGUGCAAGCAAAACGAAACAAAAUAUUUAAAUUUUCUUUUACCUAGUAAUAGUUUCCAGUCCUCAGCUGUUUUCUGGUGAGCAGACUACAUGCUAGUAGCUUUAGCUAGAUGAUAUGAAAGAUUUUUUGUGUCCUGAAAAUAAUGGGAUCAAGUUUACAGUGGUUCUGUGGGUCUGUGUAUGAGGGACAGCAGCACUCCCAGCACACACAGAAAAGGGAACAAGGAAGUCCAUCAGCCUGAGGACUGCUUGCAACACACCCCUGAGAAAAAUGAGAGGUACUUGAAAUUGUGAGUAGAGAAACUGUUUCCUGCUGUUUGCUUCCUACUGCGUUCAGGGAAACAGUACAUCAUGUACAGGCUUUGUAAAUAAAUGGGAUUGCGUUGGAUAAAUGCCUGCCUCUGUCACCUAUUUGAGGCAUAGCAUACACAGUAUAAAAAAAAUCAACUAAUUAUCUCUAAUUGCAUUUAUCUACAACAUUUAUAACGUCUUAGAAUGUACUUAAAAGAGGUGACUUGACAGAUGACAUAUUGCUGAAACUGAACUAGAGCUACAUGACAAGUCUGCUUUACAGUUUGGAGCCAUAGUUACAAAUUAUAUAUUUCUAGUAGCAUCAGGUUCUUCUGUUUGCUUUGUGUUCUCUAGUCAGAACAAAAACUUGAUAGUAAUGGGAGUGUAGAAAAGCCUACAUUGGAAGAAUGCUCUGGAAGCUAUCUGUUCCAAGGACCUAGGUGGGCCCAGAUGUGCUGCUCAGGGGUCUGCCCAGCCCUGUUAUUUCAGGGAGGGAGGUUCCCCCAGUGCUCUGGGCAGCCUGUUCCAAGGUUCUGUUGCUUUCAUGGUGAAGGAUUUUCAUCCUAUACCUGGAUGGGUUUUCUCCUGAAGUACCUUGUGCCUAUUGCUUCUUGUUCUGCCAACUGUCCUUUCUUCUGAAGAGAACCUCCAUUUUCUCUGUUACAACCUUUUAGGUGGUAGACGACUGUCUUCUCCUUUCAGCUGUCUCUUUUCUACACUGAACAAACACAGUUAUUUCACUCUUACUUCAUCUGUUAAUUCCUGCAGUCCUCUAAUCAUGUCAGUGGCCCUCUACUAGACCCUCUCAUUUUUUUUUAAUGUCUCUUUUGAUCUGGAUGGACCAAGACUGGACAGAGUUUUCCUUCUGUUCCCUAAUAAUCCCGAAAACACAAUUUCAUUUUUGACUACUUAUAAUGUAACCAAAGCACAGAAGUUCACAAAACUCCAGGAAGCAAAGGGAGGUGCUCUCCUUAUUUUACCCUAAAGCCCAAUGACUUCAGCAUUCACCCACAGUAUGGGAGACCUGGGUUCAAUUCUUGCCUUCUUUUGAAGAGUUGGACCCAUGUUGCUUGCAACCCUGAGUGGUGCCCUCAGGUGGAGGCUGUAACAAGCCAUGACAUAUUCCAGGGUUCCUUCAAACUCUCUUGAUGCCACGGUAAUAUUUUUGUUUAAUAUACUGCUAGUAUUUCUCAUGACCUGCAAGUGUCUUACCUCCUCAGUUAACCUCUGCUAACUUGUCACUCGUGCAGCCUCUACUCUUCUUGCUUUACUUCAGAAAUGCAAAAGCCUAGAUAAAUUCUCCAAAAGUUUGCCUAGGUCUGGUGUGAUCUUUAUGACAUACUAUGUGUUAGCUUUCUCUCCUUUGAUGUGAAUGAACUUGCCUGGAGUUAAGUGAUUAGUCAUCACUUGAAUACUUCCAUCUUGGUGUGCUGGUGAGUAAGUACCGGCUACCUGAAUUUAAUUAAAAAGAAGGCACUCUUUGUAAUACUUUUUUCUUUGAGCAUGGUGGUACUUGGGCUUCUUCAUUCCUUUUGUACUUCACAUAGCCUUAUCUGUACAACAUAGUAAUUUGUGAUGUGAUAAGAAAUCUAUUUGUUUUGUUUUUGUGGAGUCAGGAAAGAUCUAAAAAUAUUUUCAAGUGCUGCAGUUUUUUAACAAAAGAGACUUCGUUAUAAUGUUUGAUGUACUGGGUAAUAAAAUGUUGGUCAAUA